Molecule: ribosomal RNA, 530 nt
Filed under: uncultured bacterium
Lineage: Bacteria
Description: bacterial SSU rRNA
Rfam family: Bacterial small subunit ribosomal RNA
Source: RNAcentral
AAUAGAUACCCGGGUAGUCCACGCCGUAAACGUUGGGCGCUAGAUGUGGGAACCUUUCCACGGUUUCCGUGUCGUAGCUAACGCAUUAAGCGCCCCGCCUGGGGAGUACGGCCGCAAGGCUAAAACUCAAAGGAAUUGACGGGGGCCCGCACAAGCGGCGGAGCAUGCGGAUUAAUUCGAUGCAACGCGAAGAACCUUACCAAGGCUUGACAUACACCAGAACGCCCUAGAGAUAGGGAACUCUUUGGACACUGGUGUACAGGUGGUGCAUGGUUGUCGUCAGCUCGUGUCGUGAGAUGUUGGGUUAAGUCCCGCAACGAGCGCAACCCUCGUCGCAUGUUGCCAGCACGUUAUGGUGGGGACUCAUGUGAGACUGCCGGGUCAACUCGGAGGAAGGGUGGGGAGUGACGUCAAAUCAUCAUGCCCCUUAUGUCUUGGGCUUCACGCAUGCUACAAUGGCCGGUACAAAGGGCUGCGAUGUCGUAAGGCGGAGCGAAUCCCAAAAAGCCGGUCUCAGUUCGGAUUGAGGU